GUGUUGUAGGAAAGGAGAGAAGAUUAACACUCCCCUGGACAAGGGUGGAAGAGGCUUUGGCCUGCAAAACAUACACUGUUAAGGCAUUGCCACCUACUUUGUGGCAUCUAACUGAUGUUUUUC
RNAcentral lists this non-coding RNA (123 nucleotides) under Erinaceus europaeus (western European hedgehog). Lineage: Eukaryota; Metazoa; Chordata; Mammalia; Eulipotyphla; Erinaceidae. The record is from RNAcentral.